RNAcentral lists this ribosomal RNA (678 nucleotides) under uncultured Bacillota bacterium. Its description in RNAcentral is "bacterial SSU rRNA". It matches the Rfam family "Bacterial small subunit ribosomal RNA", at positions 226 to 917 of the family's 1533-position model. The record is from RNAcentral. Lineage: Bacteria; Bacillati; Bacillota.
GGGGUUCGCGUCCCAUUAGGUAGUUGGUGAGGUAACGGCCCACCAAGCCGACGAUGGGUAGCCGAGCUGAGAGGCUGAUCGGCCACACUGGAACUGAGACACGGUCCAGACUCCUACGGGAGGCAGCAGUGGGGAAUAUUGGGCAAUGGGCGCAAGCCUGACGCAGCAACGCCGCGUGCAGGAAGAAGGUCUUCGGAUUGUAAACUGUUGUCGCAGGGGAAGAAGAAAGUGACGGUACCCUGUGAGAAAGUCACGGCUAACUACGUGCCAGCAGCCACGGUAAUACGUAGGUGACAAGCGUUGUCCGUAUUUACUGGGUGUAAAGGGCGCGUAGGCGGGAUAGCAAGUCAGCCGUGAAAUGCCGAGGCUUAACCUCGGAGCUGCGGUUGAAACUGUUAUUCUUGAGUAUCGGAGAGGAAAGCGGAAUUCAUAGUGUAGCGGUGAAAUGAGUAGAUAUUAGGAGGAACACCAGUGGCGAAGGCGGCUUUCUGGACGACAACUGACGCUGAGGCGCGAAAGUGUGGGGAGCAAACAGGAUUAGAUACCCUGGUAGUUCACGCCGUAAACGAUGGAUACUAGGUGUAGGAGGUAUCGACCCCUUCUGUGCCGCAGUUAACACAAUAAGUAUCCCACCUGGGGAGUACGACCGCAAGGUUGCAACUCAAAUGAAUUGACGGA